UGGUUCUGGCAUCGAUGAAGAACGCAGCGAAAUGCGAUAAGUAAUGCGAAUUGCAGAAUUCCGUGAGUCAUCGAAUCUUUGAACGCACAUUGCGCCCUUUGGCAUUCCGAAGGGCAUGCCUGUUCGAGCGUCAUUAUCAACCCUCAAGCCUGGCUUGGUGUUGGACCCUGGGCGGUGUCGAGCCGCCCGGUCCCAAAGACAACGACGGCGCCUGUGGGUCCCCCGGUACAAUGAGCUUUCACGAGCACGUACCGCAGCGGACCCGGAGGCCCGGUCCCCUUCUCUUUCUCAGGUUGACCUCGGAUCAGGUAGGGAUACCCGCUGA
RNAcentral lists this unclassified non-coding RNA (325 nucleotides) under uncultured fungus. RNAcentral describes it as "partial contains 5.8S ribosomal RNA and internal transcribed spacer 2". The stretch from base 1 to 133 matches the Rfam family "5.8S ribosomal RNA", at positions 22 to 154 of the family's 154-position model. Lineage: Eukaryota; Fungi. The record is from RNAcentral.